Hemicordylus capensis (graceful crag lizard) is the source of this 1999-nucleotide long non-coding RNA. RefSeq lists it as uncharacterized. The transcript has 2 exons. The record is from RefSeq and is a predicted model, not a curated record. NCBI's taxonomy places the organism in Eukaryota, Metazoa, Chordata, Lepidosauria, Squamata, Cordylidae.
AGAAAGAGGGUUGCAGGGAUUUAAGGUGGACGUGGACUUCUGAGCUUGGAGGGAGACGGAGGAAUCUACGGGGGUCGGUUUUGAUGAUGUUGAGAAAGAACCGGGUGAGAUCUUGAGCGGGCUUUUGCCGUACAAGAAAGAGGAGUGUUUAACGCGUAAGCAUCUCGAGUUGCUAGCUCCUAGCUCGCGUCUGAUGGCUAAUAGUAAAAAUCCGUACCUCCUUAAAAGAAGCACGGCGGAGGUGUUCCCAUUGAUUAAAGCUGUAAGAAUGGGGGAAGGGAGGGUUCAGGAGACUCUUUCCAGCGGAGGAGUCACCCCUCCUCCUCCUUAUUCUCCCUCCUUCCUCCCGCCCGCCUCGGGCGCUCCUUCCCCCAGCUCCGUGGCUGCUUCUCUCGUUUCGUUCUCCCUGGGGUAGCAAACAUGGAUCCGGAACUCUGCCGUGCAAUGCAACUGCCAAGGAUGGCUGUAAGAGACAAGGGGGGGGGGGGUCCAGAGCAGGAGGAAGACCGAAUUCUGCAAAGAAGAAAGAACUGGAGCGGAUGAGAUGGGGAGGUGUUGUAUGGCAGAGCUGGGAGACGGAGGCCGCUGGCAGGCGGAGGAAGCGCUCGCAGGAGCCCGCUGCUCGAAAUAACUUUAAUUUUUGCUGAAGACAGCAGCAAUGGAUCGCCAGGCAAGUUGCUCUUAUGUUUUGGAGAGGCGGAGACAACUCGUCCCCUCUCCGAUCUCUGAACUGGGGGAGGCGGCCUUUCCUAAAGGCACCAGGAGUGCUUGCUUUGAUUAUCUCGUCUUCGGCUUGUUGUUUUCGGAAGUCUGCAGUCCCCUCCCCUCGAAACCUAGGGAAAUCUGCGUGCGUGAUGCUUUGAAGCUUGGGAAGGAGCAAUGCGUUCGCGAGGAAUCAAAACGACAUGUAGCGGCAGCAUAUAAGGCAAGGUAAAGCAGCUCUCUGGCACUCGCCCUCCCUGCUGCCAGCAACGAACUGAAAAGCCACGGGAAAUGUAGGCAUGGCGAGCCAGAGACCCGGAUGUACGAAGACCGGGGACUGCAGAAACACGUGGUGGUGGGAAUGGAGAAGGAUCGCAUAUAAUUAUAUGCUGCUUCCUACUCUGUUCUCCCCACCUCCCAGCAGAGGUUGUAAAAUAUUUGGCCAGAGGCAAUAUCCCAACGAGGAAGCGAGUCUACCCUUCUUGAGGGUUGCAGAGAAAAUCAGCACUGCAUUUUCAUGUUUUGUUGGGGGAAGGGGUGUGUGUGUGUGUGGAGAAAAUGGGUAGGCGAAAUAAACGAAACACGCCGGACAGGUUCUUCCCCCCACCCCCGCCCCGUCUCCCCAUUCGCUCUCUGUGUUAAUAACUCUUUGGGGGAAAGGGCCUGGCUUUCUGGAUUUGCAGGUAUGUUGCUUUUUCCAUUUCUCCCCCCACCCCGAUUUUGUCAUCGGUCCCCCACCGCGAUUAUUUUAUUUGAACUAGAACGAAAUCGUACAGAGACAAAACAAUCAACUAAACUUGAUUGUUGGUAUGGUUUGAAAAGCGGCGGCGGAACAAAAUACAAUGCUGGGAGUUGAUACCGCCUUUUGCCCAAGUGGAUAUAGGCUACAUAUACAGCAAAAAUACAAUUAAAUAAAACUAUUCCAGAACAACUCUAAACGAAGAUGUACACUUAAGUGUAUAUGUCGCCUAAUCCAUAGUAAGAAAGUCUAAUAGUUCUUUUUGUUAUAGUUUUAAGCGGGGGUUGGGGGUGUUGAAGGAAAAUUAGGUAUGUUAGACUUAUUUUUUACUAGGUAAGUGUAGCCUCAUGACAGACUUAAAUGUUUGCUUUCUGAGUAUUAGAAAAUAUUAAAUUUACUUACAUAAGAAAGAAAAAACAGUCCCUAAGUCCAGAUUUAGUCAAUACUAACUGGCACUUGGCUGAAUUUCCUCAACAUAAUACCAGUAACGUUACUACGAAUUAUAUUGUGUUAAUGAGGUAUAAAUAAACUGUAAACUUGAACCCGUGUGGGCCCUAA